GAUGAACGCUAGCGGCAGGCUUAACACAUGCAAGUCGAGGGGUAACAUUGUAGCUUGCUACAGAUGACGACCGGCGCACGGGUGCGUAACGCGUAUACAAUCUACCUUAUACUGGGGUAUAGCCUUUAGAAAUGAAGAUUAACCCCCCAUAGUCUCUUAUAGUGGCAUCACUUAAAGAGUAAAGGUUACGGUAUAAGAUGAGUAUGCGUUCUAUUAGUUUGUUGGUGUGGUAACGGCACACCAAGACUGCGAUAGAUAGGGGCCCUGAGAGGGGGAUCCCCCACACUGGUACUGAGACACGGACCAGACUCCUACGGGAGGCAGCAGUGAGGAAUAUUGGACAAUGGAGGCAACUCUGAUCCAGCCAUGCCGCGUGUAGGAUGACUGCCCUAUGGGUUGUAAACUACUUUUAUACAGGAAGAAACACCUCUACGUGUAGAGGCUUGACGGUACUGUAAGAAUAAGGAUCGGCUAACUCCGUGCCAGCAGCCGCGGUAAUACGGAGGAUCCAAGCGUUAUCCGGAAUCAUUGGGUUUAAAGGGUCCGUAGGUGGAUAAUUAAGUCAGAGGUGAAAUCUUGCAGCUCAACUGUAAAAUUGCCUUUGAUACUGGUUAUCUUGAGUUAUUAUGAAGUAGUUAGAAUAUGUAGUGUAGCGGUGAAAUGCAUAGAUAUUACAUAGAAUACCAAUUGCGAAGGCAGAUUACUAAUAAUCAACUGACACU
This 722-nucleotide ribosomal RNA is filed under the name bacterium IMCC8471. Its description in RNAcentral is "bacterial SSU rRNA". It matches the Rfam family "Bacterial small subunit ribosomal RNA", at positions 28 to 747 of the family's 1533-position model. RNAcentral also lists the same sequence under 1 other name. The record is from RNAcentral.